GGAGCAAUUGAAUGAACUUUAGG
RNAcentral lists this non-coding RNA (23 nucleotides) under Arabidopsis thaliana (thale cress). The record is from RNAcentral. Lineage: Eukaryota; Viridiplantae; Streptophyta; Magnoliopsida; Brassicales; Brassicaceae.